CCUACGGGAGGCUGCAGUGGGGAAUAUUGGACAAUGGGCGAAAGCCUGAUCCAGCCAUGCCGCGUGUGUGAAGAAGGCCUUCGGGUUGUAAAGCACUUUCAGUGGGGAAGAAAGCCUUGGGGCUAAUACCCUCGAGGAAGGACAUCACCCACAGAAGAAGCACCGGCUAACUCCGUGCCAGCAGCCGCGGUAAUACGGAGGGUGCGAGCGUUAAUCGGAAUUACUGGGCGUAAAGCGCGCGUAGGCGGUCUGAUAAGCCGGUUGUGAAAGCCCCGGGCUCAACCUGGGAACGGCAUCCGGAACUGUCAGGCUAGAGUGCAGGAGAGGAAGGUAGAAUUCCCGGUGUAGCGGUGAAAUGCGUAGAGAUCGGGAGGAAUACCAGUGGCGAAGGCGGCCUUCUGGAAUGACACUGACGCUGAGGUGCGAAAGCGUGGGUAGCAAACAGGAUUAGAUACCCGAGUAGUC
RNAcentral lists this ribosomal RNA (465 nucleotides) under Vreelandella stevensii. RNAcentral describes it as "partial 16S ribosomal RNA". It matches the Rfam family "Bacterial small subunit ribosomal RNA", at positions 338 to 795 of the family's 1533-position model. Lineage: Bacteria; Pseudomonadati; Pseudomonadota; Gammaproteobacteria; Oceanospirillales; Halomonadaceae. The record is from RNAcentral.